RNAcentral lists this ribosomal RNA (379 nucleotides) under Providencia rettgeri. Its description in RNAcentral is "partial 23S ribosomal RNA". The record is from RNAcentral. Lineage: Bacteria; Pseudomonadati; Pseudomonadota; Gammaproteobacteria; Enterobacterales; Morganellaceae.
GGUUAAGCGACUAAGCGUACACGGUGGAUGCCUAGGCAAUCAGAGGCGAUGAAGGACGUGCUAAUCUGCGAUAAGCGUCGGUAAGGUGAUAUGAACCGUUACAACCGACGAUUUCCGAAUGGGGAAACCCAGUGCAAUYCGUUGCACUAUCGUUUGAUGAAUACAUAGUCAAACGAAGCGAACCGGGGGAACUGAAACAUCUCAGUACCCCGAGGAAAAGAAAUCAACCGAGAUUCCCCUAGUAGCGGCGAGCGAACGGGGAGCAGCCCAGAGUCUUAAUCAGCAUUAGCAUCAGGAGAACGGUCUGGAAAGUCCGGCAGUAAAGGGUGAUAGCCCCGUAUCCGAAGGUGUUAGUGUUGUGAACUCGACGAGUAGGGCG